Haemorhous mexicanus (house finch) is the source of this 1016-nucleotide long non-coding RNA. RefSeq lists it as uncharacterized. The record is from RefSeq and is a predicted model, not a curated record. Lineage: Eukaryota; Metazoa; Chordata; Aves; Passeriformes; Fringillidae. The transcript is spliced from 3 exons.
AAACUGACUAAUCACUGCGCGGCUUCCUUCGCAAUGCCCGCCUUCCCCUUCCUGCCCCAGCCAAUCAGAGGCGAGCCAGAAGCGGUGCCCCCUUCUGCCGCCGCCGGGUCCCGCCGGGCUCGGGACAGGAUUUCCCAUUCCCAACCCUUGGGAGGCUGUGAGGAAGAGGAAGAUGCCCUGGGACACUGAGGCAGUGCCAUAAUCGGUGGACUUGUCAGUCCAAGGUCGUCCAAUAUUGGGAAAGCAGAGCGGAAGCACAGAGCGGCACCGUGUGAGACACAGAUGCCCAAGCCAGUGCCUCACAGGGACGGCUGCAAGCCUCAGCCCAGUCUCCCCAAGCAGCCCUUGCCAGACCGCAGGCAGCCCUGGCCGGAGCGCCACAGACCAGCCACCCCAGCGCAGGGAUGGACCUGGCAACCUCCAGUGUGAAAAAUGCGUAUUUAAUGAUUGGCUUUUCGCAAAUAUUAAAAUGAGUAUUAUAUGUGUUGUGUUAGAAAGUGGUGCUGUAUUAAUUCUCUUAAGUAGCGUGUUAAAUACAGUUUUAGGUUAUAAAAAGUGUUAAAAUAGAAACUAUGCUAUGUAGGAUACUUUUUUUAAAGAAAGGGACUCGCAGCCAGAUAGCAGCCACAGGACACCUAAAUCUUUCAGAGAAAAAGAAUUUAUUGCCCUCUUAUCAGAAGAAAUGAACUUCUUCCCAGCUCGAAGACGCUGUUGGGAUUCAGAGGAAGAAGCUGAGAAUGACCAGACAGAAUCCUGUGUGUGAAUGGAAUUUAUGCAUCAUGUAUGAAGUGUAUGAAUAUGUAACAGGCUGUUGUUUUUAAGGGUUAAUCCUUUGUUAAUGGGUGUCCUUUUUCGAGCUUGUGCUGCCCAGAAAAAGGUACCCGAACAUCUGUAACUCUUUGUGUCUAUUGUCUCAUAUUGUCCAAUUCAAAUUGUCCAAAUUACUAUUACUCUCACUGUAUUACUACAUUUAUAACCAUUUUAUUACUAUUAAACAUUUAAAAUUUUAAAACAAA